This is a long non-coding RNA of Piliocolobus tephrosceles (Ugandan red Colobus), 1665 nucleotides long. The record is from Ensembl. Lineage: Eukaryota; Metazoa; Chordata; Mammalia; Primates; Cercopithecidae.
UGAACUAUAAUAAUCACAAUCGUACGAACACUAAUAAUUACAAUCGUCAGAAUUAUAAUAACCUAAAUCAUACAAACUCUUAUAACUACAACCACACGAAUCAUGAUUAUAAUUGUGUUAACCUUAAUUACAAUUUUGCUAACGCUGGUUAUAAUUAUGCAAACACUAAUUACCGAAUUCGUACAAACCCUAACAACAACAAUCAUACUAAUUACAAAAGACAGUGCUAUCGUAAUUCUCCCAAAACGAAUGAUAGUUUUAACAAAACACAUGAAAAAAUGAAACAAAGUAAAGUAUCUAAGAAAAAUAUUCAUUAUCAUAAUUAUUGUGGUUAUAAUAAAGUAUCACAUAUAAGGGAAAAUAGUUCGUUAAGUAGUAAUAAUGUUCGAGAUUGUAAAAAGCCUAAAGUUAUUAGCAUACAUAGUAAUGAUACAUAUAACGAUACACAUAAUAAUACACAUAAUAAUACACAUAAUAAUACACAUAAUAAUACACAUAAUAAUACACAUAACAAUAUAUAUAACAAUACACAUAACAAUAUACAUAACAACACACAUAACAAUAUACAUAACAAUACACAUAACAAUAUACAUAAUGUGCAUCAUCAUAAUAAUAAUAAUAAUAAUAAGCAUAUUGGUAUGAAUAAUAUAUAUGGUAAACGUAUAAGAAAUGAAACAGGUAGCAGUAACGAUAGUGUGGUUAGUAGUAAUAGUAGUAACGGCAGUAGCAAUUGUAGUGAUAAUAUGAAUUAUAGUAGCCAGCACAUAAGUAAACAUAAUACAAAUAGUGAUGGAUAUACCGUUAGUUACGAUUCAUCAGUUGAAUAUACAUUUGAUAAUGUAUCGAACAAGUAUGGCAUUGGUGAUGAUCGCUAUAAUAUGGAUAUUACUAGUAAAGGUAUUAAUAAUAGUGUUAUUAGUCAAGGGGAUUGUAUUGAGGCAAUAAAUGCAAGACAUAUUAAUUUAUGUACUGAAAAUGAUGAGAGUACUAUGACUACUACUAAUGGUAUUAGUGGUGUUGGUACUAGUACUGCAGUUAGUGGUACUACUACUAAUAAUAUGGAUUUUUUACAAUACAAUUUUAAUAAUUCACAUAUGGAAAAAAAAAAGAUAUGUCGUACAUUAAAACAAAAAAUGAUGUUAGGAACCAAUUUCACAUUCGAAUCUCAUAACAAAAAAGAUAAAAAAAUAACUGGUAAUAAAAGAAAUAGGAGUAUAAGUUCGGUAACGAAUGAAAAUACAAAAAAAAAUAAAAAACAUGAAGAAAAAAAAAAGAAAAAAAAAGAUGAUAGUGUUAUUAUUAUUGGUAAUUCUACAAAGGUUGGUGCGUUUAAUAAAAACAAAAAUAACAUUAAUAAUAAUAUUAAAAUUAGUACUAAUAGAGUUAGUAACAUUUAUAACAGUAUUAGUCAUAGUAGUCAGUACAGUAAAAGCAGUGAAUAUAGUAAUAAGAGUCAAUACAGUAACAGUAGUCAAUACAGUAGCAGUAAUCACUAUACUAAAAGCAGUCAAUAUAGUAAAAGCAGCCAAUAUAGUAAAAGCAGUCAAUAUAGUAAAAGUAGCCAAUAUAGUAAUAGUAGUAGUGAAAAAAAGAAGGUUUAAAAAAAAAAAAAAAAAAAAAGGCUCAGAUGAUGAAUCCGAUGAAGAAAUUGUACAUUUUAAAUGG